RNAcentral lists this ribosomal RNA (474 nucleotides) under uncultured bacterium. RNAcentral describes it as "bacterial SSU rRNA". It matches the Rfam family "Bacterial small subunit ribosomal RNA", at positions 11 to 507 of the family's 1533-position model. The record is from RNAcentral.
GUUUGAUCCUGGCUCAGAUUGAACGCUGGCGGCAUGCCUUACACAUGCAAGUCGAACGGCAGCGGACCUUCGGGUGCCGGCGAGUGGCGAACGGGUGAGUAAUAUAUCGGAACGUACCUUUCAGUGGGGGAUAACGUAGCGAAAGUUACGCUAAUACCGCAUAUUCUGUGAGCAGGAAAGCAGGGGAUCGCAAGACCUUGCGCUGAUUGAGCGGCCGAUAUCAGAUUAGCUAGUUGGUGAGGUAAAGGCUCACCAAGGCGACGAUCUGUAGCGGGUCUGAGAGGAUGAUCCGCCACACUGGAACUGAGACACGGUCCAGACUCCUACGGGAGGCAGCAGUGAGGAAUAUUGGACAAUGGGCGAAAGCCUGAUCCAGCCAUGCCGCGUGAGUGACGAAGGCCUUAGGGUUGUAAAGCUCUUUCAGGUGCGAAGAUAAUGACAGUAACACCAGAAGAAGCCCCGGCUAAAUUCGUG